CUGACUUUUACUUAGCAAAUUAGUUUAAAUGAACUGUGUUUGUUGAUCUGCAGUUACUGCUGCUUAGAGAGUAAAGUGAACUGGAUGGAGUGAGUCAGUGAGAAGCAGUUCUUUGGAAGUGGGGCUGAAAUGUGGCACCAAGUUUUUAAGUACUUGGGGGUGGGAGGUAUUUUUUUUCUCUCCACAGGAGUGAUGUGUACUUCAGUAAAGGCAGCCAGUCAAGGAUGUUCCAGAGGUAGUGGGGAAGAAUGUCUUGUUAAUUGUGAUGAUCAUUUCCCAUCUCCCUGGAUUCAUUGGCUGCGUGCUGUUAUCUUUACUCAGACGGCUCCUCUAACCAUGUUUACAACUAUCAACCCUGUGACCAUCCACGGCAGCCUUGUGACAGUUCGUGCCCUUGUGUGAUAGCACAAAAUUUUUGUGAAAAGUUUUGUCAAUGUAGUUCAGAGUGUCAAAACCGCUUUCCUGGAUGCCGGUGCAAAGCACAAUGCAACACCAAGCAGUGUCCGUGCUACCUGGCUGUCCGAGAGUGUGAUCCUGACCUCUGUCUCACUUGUGGAGCUGCUGACCACUGGGACAGUAAAAAUGUGUCCUGCAAGAACUGUAGCAUUCAGCGGGGCUCUAAAAAGCACUUACUGCUGGCACCGUCUGAUGUGGCAGGCUGGGGCAUCUUUAUCAAAGAUCCAGUACAGAAAAAUGAAUUCAUCUCAGAAUACUGUGGA
Molecule: long non-coding RNA, 719 nt
Filed under: Rattus norvegicus (Norway rat)
Lineage: Eukaryota; Metazoa; Chordata; Mammalia; Rodentia; Muridae
Description: long non-coding RNA NONRATT021388
Source: RNAcentral